CCUACGGGGUGCAGCAGUGAGGAAUAUUGGUCAAUGGUCGGGAGACUGAACCAGCCAAGCCGCGUGAGGGAUGAAGGUACGGAGUAUCGUAAACCUCUUUUGUCAGGGAACAAAGGCGGGGACGUGUCCCCGGAUGAGUGUACCUGAAGAAAAAGCAUCGGCUAACUCCGUGCCAGCAGCCGCGGUAAUACGGAGGAUGAGAGCGUUAUCCGGAUUUAUGGGGUUUAAAGGGUGCGCAGGCGGUCUGUUAAGUCAGCGGUCAAAGCCCGGGGCUCAACCCCGGCCCGCCGUUGAAACUGGCAGUCUCGAGUUGGAGAGAGGUAUGCGGAAUGCGCGGUGUAGCGGUGAAAUGCAUAGAUAUCGCGCAGAACUCCGAUUGCGAAGGCAGCAUGCCGGCUCCACACUGACGCUGAGGCACGAAAGCGUGGGUAUCGAACAGGAUUAGAUACCCCUGUAGUC
RNAcentral lists this ribosomal RNA (459 nucleotides) under uncultured bacterium. RNAcentral's name for it is "partial 16S ribosomal RNA". It matches the Rfam family "Bacterial small subunit ribosomal RNA", at positions 338 to 795 of the family's 1533-position model. The record is from RNAcentral.